UUUCAUAUAAUUUGUUGCAAAAACGCGGGUUGAGCAAUUACUAAUACUGCGACUUCUGAAGAAAUAUAAAUGUGGUGAUAAACAAAUGCAAAGAAAAUAGAACACAAUAAUUUACGUGGUUCGGCGUAAUGCCUACAUCCUCGGGCAAAGACUGGAAGAUAAUUUUACUAAUAAUGUGACUUUACAAAAGUGGGAAAAACUCACAAUAACCCACAACCCCAAUACACCCAAAUAGAACUUCACUAGAACACUCAAGUAGAACCUCUCUCAAAUUCUCUCAAAGAACUCACUUGCAAUUGCUCUCUACUUCUCUCAA
RNAcentral lists this long non-coding RNA (316 nucleotides) under Citrus x clementina. RNAcentral's name for it is "Citrus clementina (C. clementina) long non-coding RNA (CCLE_LNC000474)". Lineage: Eukaryota; Viridiplantae; Streptophyta; Magnoliopsida; Sapindales; Rutaceae. The record is from RNAcentral.